RNAcentral lists this transfer RNA (75 nucleotides) under Calumma globifer. Its description in RNAcentral is "tRNA-Ile". The record is from RNAcentral. Lineage: Eukaryota; Metazoa; Chordata; Lepidosauria; Squamata; Chamaeleonidae.
GGAAGAGUGCCCGAGAACAGGGACUACUUUGAUAGAGUAGGUACAGAGAUCGUCAACCCUCUCUCUUCCCCAUCA